GAAGGUAGAGCUCAAGUGGUAGCGCACAUGCUUAGCACGUAUGAGGUCCUGGGUUUGAUCCCUAGUACCUCCA
RNAcentral lists this transfer RNA (73 nucleotides) under Camelus ferus (Wild Bactrian camel). It matches the Rfam family "tRNA". From Rfam's summary of the family: Transfer RNA (tRNA) molecules are approximately 80 nucleotides in length. Lineage: Eukaryota; Metazoa; Chordata; Mammalia; Artiodactyla; Camelidae. The record is from Rfam by way of RNAcentral.